UUCACAUACUUCAAUGAUAAAGACACACAUGUAUCUAUCACUCGUUUAAGCAAAACUGAUAUCUUCUUUCUUGUUAAUUUGGAGAUGCAGAUGGUUGGUAGCACUCUGAAGCCCUCGAAAAGCAGCAGCCAGAAGAAAACGGUGAUGUCGUAGGGGAUGAAAUGGUUCCUGUUGAAGUGAGGCCAGGCCACAUUCGCUUCAAGCCGCUCGAUGAAGCCUCCCCUGAAACUGAACCGUAUGACUUACCCCUAUUUUCAUUUCCUUAAGCUUUUGCCCAAUCUGAAAUAUCUAUAAUGAUCAUGGCUUGAUAAUGUAACCAUGACGAAGAAGAAAUGGUACAGAGAAGACGGAUUUUCCAAACGAUAUGCUUGGGAUUUAAAUGAAGAUGAUACUUAUCAGACACAGCCCGUAGAGGCAGUGACACUUGCUAACGGUCUGAUAGACUAUGAACAGCUUGUGGAGUACACCAAGAAAGGAGAUUUUAUUGAGUUAACAUCAUCCUGGAGUCCCGAAGUUUCCUCCUUUCGAAGAAUGGAAAAGGGAACCCUUGGGAAGAACUAAGUGAAGCUCUAAGUGCGAAACUGUCUGAAGCCAACAAUGGGUGGAACAAGAAAGGGAGUUCAAGUGGAGGCACGUGAAUGCAUUGCUGAGUUUUUGUUAGGAACUUAGGGUAAAGGAAAAUUUGAUAUUUUUGUAUGCAUCUAAUGGUCCCUGCAAGCAAACGGAACUGAAUGGGAUUUCACAUGACCUCUACACGAUGAGUAUAGUCAUCAAUUGCUUCUGUCGGGGUGUCGUAAACUCGGUUUUGCUUUUUCUGUUUUUGGAAAGAUGUUGAAGCUUGGCUAUGAGCCCGACACAAUCACAUUCUCUACUUUGAUCAACGGGUCAUCAUCGCUGGAUUGAAAUAUAUCUUCCUUUCGAGACAAAUCACCAAAGAUUCUGACUCUGGUUCCUCCUCUUUGCACCGUGGCUGGAAAAGAGUAAUGAUUGGCUUAAAGGACCCAAAUCUUCUGUUGGUGUAUUCAUAUUUUUAUUGUUUAUCUAAGUCUUACUGCCCUCUGCUGUUGUUGUGUGUUGGAGGAAUGCUGCUUCUGAGAAUGCCUGCCCUUCUAUCUGGAUCUCUUGUUUUCAUCAUUUACAGUCACCUCACAUGUUCGGUCUAAGACAUGCUUAUAGCUCUCUCUGUCUUAUAUAUGGACUGUUAAUGUUUCUAUGUAUGUUAAUGAUGUACCCUCUUUGUUUGAGAGUAGACUAAUCGACAACAUGGAUGAGAAAAAGAAAACAGGUUUCUUGUGUAUCUUCUUUGUAGUUUAU
Long non-coding RNA from Brassica oleracea var. oleracea, 1314 nucleotides. RefSeq lists it as uncharacterized. The record is from RefSeq and is a predicted model, not a curated record. The transcript is spliced from 6 exons. Lineage: Eukaryota; Viridiplantae; Streptophyta; Magnoliopsida; Brassicales; Brassicaceae.